This 497-nucleotide ribosomal RNA is filed under the name uncultured bacterium. Its description in RNAcentral is "partial 16S ribosomal RNA". It matches the Rfam family "Bacterial small subunit ribosomal RNA", at positions 28 to 507 of the family's 1533-position model. The record is from RNAcentral.
GAUGAACGCUGGCGGCGUGCCUAAUACAUGCAAGUCGAGCGAACCGACGAGGAGCUUGCUGCUCUGACGUUAGCGGCGGACGGGUGAGUCACACGUGGAUGACCCACCUAUAAGAAAGGGAUAAUAUUAGGAAACCGUAGCUAAUACCGGAUAAUAUAUUUAAUCACAUGGAUAAAUACUGUAAGACGGCUUUGCUUUCACUUAUCUAUGGAUCCGCGUAGCAGUAGCUAGUUGGUAAGGUAACGAGUUACCCUGGAAACGAUGCGGAGCCGACAGGAGAGGGUGAGCGGCCAGCCUGGAAGUGAGACAGGGUCCAGACUGCCACGGGAGGGAGCAUUAGGGAAUCUUCCGGAAUGAGCGAAAACCUGACGGAACAACGCCGCGUGAGUGAUGAAGGACUUCGGAUCGUAAAACUCUGUUAUUAGGGAAGAACAAAUGUGUAAGUUACGAUGCACGUCUUGACGGUACCUAAACAGAAAGCCACGGCUAACUACGUG